CCUACGUGGGGCUGCAGUGGGGAAUAUUGGACAAUGGGCGAAAGCCUGAUCCAGCCAUGCCGCGUGUGUGAAGAAGGCCUUCGGGUUGUAAAGCACUUUCAGUGGGGAAGAAAGCCUUGGGGCUAAUACCCUCGAGGAAGGACAUCACCCACAGAAGAAGCACCGGCUAACUCCGUGCCAGCAGCCGCGGUAAUACGGAGGGUGCGAGCGUUAAUCGGAAUUACUGGGCGUAAAGCGCGCGUAGGCGGUCUGAUAAGCCGGUUGUGAAAGCCCCGGGCUCAACCUGGGAACGGCAUCCGGAACUGUCAGGCUAGAGUGCAGGAGAGGAAGGUAGAAUUCCCGGUGUAGCGGUGAAAUGCGUAGAGAUCGGGAGGAAUACCAGUGGCGAAGGCGGCCUUCUGGACUGACACUGACGCUGAGGUGCGAAAGCGUGGGUAGCAAACAGGAUUAGAUACCCCUGUAGUC
This 465-nucleotide ribosomal RNA is filed under the name Vreelandella stevensii. RNAcentral's name for it is "partial 16S ribosomal RNA". It matches the Rfam family "Bacterial small subunit ribosomal RNA", at positions 338 to 795 of the family's 1533-position model. Lineage: Bacteria; Pseudomonadati; Pseudomonadota; Gammaproteobacteria; Oceanospirillales; Halomonadaceae. The record is from RNAcentral.